AACGCGAAGAACCUUACCUAGGCCUGACAUGUUCGUGGCACGAGCGUGGAAGCGUGAGGUUUUGCAAGAGAGCGUACACAGAUGCUGCAUGGCUGUCGUCAGCUCGUGCCGUGAGGUGUUGGGUUAAGUCCCGCAACGAGCGCAACCCUCGUUGCCAGUUACCAUGUCUGGCGGGACCGCCGGGUCCAACCCGGAGGAAGGUGGGGAUGACGUCAAGUCAGCACGGCUCUUACGUCUAGGGCUACACACACGCUACAAUGGCCGGUACAACGCGCAGCGAUGGGGCGACCCGGAGCGAAUCGCAUCAAAGCCGGUCUCAGUUGGGAUUGCAGGUUGCAACUCGCCUGCAUGAACGCGGAGUUGCUAGUAACCGCAGGUCAGCACACUGCGGUGAAUACGUUCCCGGGCCUUGUACACACCG
This 421-nucleotide ribosomal RNA is filed under the name uncultured bacterium. RNAcentral's name for it is "bacterial SSU rRNA". It matches the Rfam family "Bacterial small subunit ribosomal RNA", at positions 958 to 1392 of the family's 1533-position model. The record is from RNAcentral.